CGUAGGGUGCAAGCGUUGUCCGGAAUUAUUGGGCGUAAAGAGCUUGUAGGCGGUUUGUCGCGUCUGCUGUGAAAAUCCGAGGCUCAACCUCGGACUUGCAGUGGGUACGGGCAGACUAGAGUGUGGUAGGGGAGACUGGAAUUCCUGGUGUAGCGGUGAAAUGCGCAGAUAUCAGGAGGAACACCGAUGGCGAAGGCAGGUCUCUGGGCCACUACUGACGCUGAGAAGCGAAAGCAUGGGGAGCGAACAGG
Molecule: ribosomal RNA, 251 nt
Filed under: uncultured bacterium
Lineage: Bacteria
Description: partial 16S ribosomal RNA
Rfam family: Bacterial small subunit ribosomal RNA
Source: RNAcentral